UACGAGUGGCUCAAGCGUUAUCCGGUUUUAUUGGGCGUAAAGGGUCCGCAGGUGGCCAGAUAAGUCCGGUGUUAAAUCCUGGUGCUCAACAUCAGGGCUGCAUUGGAAACUAUUUGGCUUGAGGCUGGGAGAGGCAUAUGGAAUUGCCGGUGUAGUAGUAAAAUGCGUUAAUAUCGGCAAGAACACCAAAGGCGAAGGCAUUAUGCUGGAACAGUUCUGACACUCAGGGACGAAAGCGUGGGGAGCGAAUGGG
Molecule: ribosomal RNA, 253 nt
Filed under: uncultured bacterium
Lineage: Bacteria
Description: partial 16S ribosomal RNA
Rfam family: Bacterial small subunit ribosomal RNA
Source: RNAcentral